RNAcentral lists this long non-coding RNA (452 nucleotides) under Taeniopygia guttata (zebra finch). RNAcentral describes it as "lncRNA (ENSTGUG00000021891.1)". The record is from RNAcentral. Lineage: Eukaryota; Metazoa; Chordata; Aves; Passeriformes; Estrildidae.
CUUGAACUCAUGUAAACACACCACAAGCCCAUACUUUACCCCUUUGAACACUUUUAUUUUAGGCCCAGCAGCACUGCAGCGUUGCUGUGCAGGCCCUGAACAGCAGCUGGCUCCCAGCCGCCAGGCCGGAGUGCGAGCGGGACGGACACGCGGGACACAUGCCGUUGGCUUGGCACGGCGCUGCCCAGUCCAGGAAAUGCAUGCCCUGGAGUUCCACAUACUGCAGAGACUGACUAUUUCAGAUACUUCUUAGCUUGGAUAAGGAUGUUAUUCUAUGUUUGGACUGCUGCCAUGGACAUGUGAGAAGGGUGUUGCUUACCAGUCUCCCCUCAACAGUAUUGACAGAUGCUAUGAAAAUUCCCAAGGAUAAAACCUGGUUUAGCUCAUGUUAAGGUAAGGGAGUAUUUGCCUUACAGCAUAUUAAUCUUGUGGAAAUUAUUAGAUUUGUCUGU